UGGCGGACGGGUGAGUAAUGUCUGGGAAACUGCCCGAUGGAGGGGGAUAACUACUGGAAACGGUAGCUAAUACCGCAUAACGUCGCAAGACCAAAGAGGGGGACCUUCGGGCCUCUUGCCAUCGGAUGUGCCCAGAUGGGAUUAGCUAGUAGGUGGGGUAACGGCUCACCUAGGCGACGAUCCCUAGCUGGUCUGAGAGGAUGACCAGCCACACUGGGACUGAGACACGGCCAG
Molecule: ribosomal RNA, 234 nt
Filed under: uncultured bacterium
Lineage: Bacteria
Description: partial 16S ribosomal RNA
Rfam family: Bacterial small subunit ribosomal RNA
Source: RNAcentral